UUUGCUGCAUCGUUAGGGAAUGUCAGAUUGCUUUUAACAACCUCAAGGUUGGAUAUCAGGCCUUUAUUGGUGUUCACGCCGUCAGUAAUAAAA
This 93-nucleotide transfer RNA is filed under the name Klebsiella pneumoniae. Its description in RNAcentral is "tRNA-Lys(ttt)". Lineage: Bacteria; Pseudomonadati; Pseudomonadota; Gammaproteobacteria; Enterobacterales; Enterobacteriaceae. The record is from RNAcentral.